CAGUCGCCGCGGUAAUACGGAGGGUGCAAGCGUCACUCGGAAUCACUGGGCGUAAAGGACGCGUAGGCGGAUUAUCAAGUCUCUUGUGAAAUCUAACGGCUUAACCGUUAAACUGCUUGGGAAACUGAUAAUCUAGAGUAAGGGAGAGGCAGAUGGAAUUCUUGGUGUAAGGGUAAAAUCCGUAGAGAUCAAGAAGAAUACCCAUUGCGAAAGCGAUCUGCUGGAACUUAACUGACGCUAAUGCGUGAAAGCGUGGGGAGCAAACAGGAUAAGAUACCCCCGUAGUCCCUGUCUCUUAUAA
Molecule: ribosomal RNA, 301 nt
Filed under: uncultured bacterium
Lineage: Bacteria
Description: partial 16S ribosomal RNA
Rfam family: Bacterial small subunit ribosomal RNA
Source: RNAcentral